UGAUGCCUACGGGGGGCAGCAGUGGGGGAUAUUGCACAAUGGGGGAAACCCUGAUGCAGCGACGCCGCGUGAGUGAAGAAGUAUUUCGGUAUGUAAAGCUCUAUCAGCAGGGAAGAAAAUGACAGUACCUGACCAAGAAGCCCCGGCUAACUACGUGCCAGCAGCCGCGGUAAUACGUAGGGGGCAAGCGUUAUCCGGAUUUACUGGGUGUAAAGUGUGCGUAGGUGGCAGGGCAAGUCAGAUGUGAAAGCCCGGGGCUCAACCCCGGUACUGCAUUUGAAACUGUCCAGCUGGAGUGCAGGAGG
RNAcentral lists this ribosomal RNA (305 nucleotides) under uncultured bacterium. RNAcentral's name for it is "bacterial SSU rRNA". It matches the Rfam family "Bacterial small subunit ribosomal RNA", at positions 333 to 655 of the family's 1533-position model. The record is from RNAcentral.